RNAcentral lists this ribosomal RNA (253 nucleotides) under uncultured bacterium. RNAcentral's name for it is "partial 16S ribosomal RNA". It matches the Rfam family "Bacterial small subunit ribosomal RNA", at positions 524 to 776 of the family's 1533-position model. The record is from RNAcentral.
UACGGAGGGUGCGAGCGUUGUCCGGAAUCACUGGGCGUAAAGGGCGCGUAGGCGGCCGUGUAAGUCACUUGUGAAAUCCCGGGGCUCAACUCCGGGGCUGCAGGUGAGACUGCGUGGCUAGAGCACGGUAGAGGCGAGUGGAAUUCCCGGUGUAGCGGUGGAAUGCGUAGAUAUCGGGAAGAACACCGGUGGCGAAGGCGGCGACCUGGGUCGAGACUGACGCUGAGGCGCGAAAGCGUGGGGAGCAAACAGG